Long non-coding RNA from Arachis stenosperma, 1742 nucleotides. RefSeq lists it as uncharacterized. NCBI's taxonomy places the organism in Eukaryota, Viridiplantae, Streptophyta, Magnoliopsida, Fabales, Fabaceae. The transcript has 6 exons. The record is from RefSeq and is a predicted model, not a curated record.
UUUUUCAUGUUUUCUUUGAAUUGCUCCCUGCCUUCUCUCUCCAUUGAAGAUGUGACGUCCUUAGCUGUCGCCGCCACCGCCGCACGAACUCCCUCCGUUGCCCUCAUCGCGUUUGCUCCCUUCGUUGCCAUCGUCGUACGACCUCUCUCCGCCAUGCUCUUGUCUUACGAGCUCUUUCCGCGCCGCUCUCGUCGCUGCUUCUUCUCUCCUCGCCGGAAUCUCUUCUCGUCGCCGUUAGUUCAGGGAAGAAGAAAGAGCGGUGAGGAGAAUUAGGUAGUUGGAGAAGGUGAGAAGAAGAAAGAGGAAAGUGUUGGUGCCACUGCUGUUGUUGGUGAUGGAGAGGAGGAAAAGAAUAAGAAGAAGAAGAAGAGUAAGAAGCAGGGGUUAAUUUCUCGAAUUUGGAACGGGAUAUUCAGAAGACGUAGCGAUGAUUUCGAGAAGAGACUGUAGUAUAUUUCCAAAGAGGAAGCUGCGGUUAUGGCCAGGGUCAAUGGGAGAAACCGGUCGUGGCGGAGAACUUCGCGCCAGAUCAUCAUAAUUUCUGUUAUAUUUGAGGUACAUUUUCCAUUGUUGGAUGAAUGGGUUUAUCUUUGUGUGUUUUUGUUUAUCAUGAAUCAUUUCUCACAUGAAUAGAUUUGUGUAUUUUAACAUGCCAUUUUAUGCUAGAGUUUCUUUGAACUUGAAGUGCGAAAAACUACAAACUACGACUCAUGAUAGCUACCUCAAAAAUCAAAUUAAAGAUAUAAAACUCUGACAGUAUAGGGAUAUGACAGAAUAGAAUGGAGUCAUCUGAUCAGUGAAGGUGACCCCCCUAUAUAGUGGGAAAAGACAUUCUUCUCUUAUUGUUUUGAAAUAUGACAAUUUGGAUUUAAACGGUUUCAUCUCCUAGACCGUUGCUGUAGGUUUUGCAAUCAUGAGAACUAGAUCAAUGGAUAUGAAUUGGAAGAUGAGAGCAAUCCGGGUUUUUUUUUGUAUACUAUAGUUCACUCAGUAUUGGUAUCAUCGCCAUGGUGGGUGUCACGCUUCUCAUGAGAUUCAGCCUCCUCCUCCUCCUACUUGCUGGAUUAUCACCGUCACUUUUAUGGCCUUCUUUUGCUGCAGAUUUUGUUAUUCCAAAAGGAUGCUUUGUAGUUCCAUUUCUUUCAGCAGUCCUUUACAGAGGAAGAAGAUGUAAAUGUAGAUGAUGUAGCUGCUGCUUUUGUAGGUGGGCAAUCUAUCGAGCCUAGUUAUACAACAAGUUUCAAUCUGUGAUAGUACGAGGCAGAUUUUCCUUGUUUGAUCCUACAAUGCCUUAUGGUCGCCAAGACGUGAUAGAGUGGAUUUGUGGGCUAUAGGUUAAAUAUUUGGAGGUAUGACAGAUUAUUAGAAGUUGUGCUUUUAAACUGGUGCAGUUCUGAUCUCUGGAAAUAUUCUCACCAUCCAAAGUACUUUGACGAGGUAGCACAAGCACAUGUAGAAGAGGCUAGCUCCAUGCGAAAGCGAUUUGACAAUGAAGAUAUUUUAUAUAUCUUUGAUUACAAAACUAUAGGAAGAUAAGAAAGCUUUGGAACGACUCACAAAGUCGAAAGAGUCAACACUGCUAGAAGCAGAGAGGAUUUUGCGAAGUGCACUAGAGAGGGCUCUAAUUGUUGAGAAAGUUCAAUAUAGCUGAUAGUUUUAGUAUGGUUGAACAAUAUACUGGAAAUUAUAGUUGAUGAUCAAUACACUUUAUUUAUGUUUUGAAUUAUAUUGACUUACUUGUU